Molecule: RNA transcript, 3182 nt
Organism: Acanthopagrus latus (yellowfin seabream)
Lineage: Eukaryota; Metazoa; Chordata; Actinopteri; Spariformes; Sparidae
Gene: nadsyn1
Gene name: NAD synthetase 1
Exons: 22
Source: RefSeq, a predicted model, not a curated record
GAAGGCUCUCUGCAGUAAGGGGCUAGGCUUCUCUCUAUUCCAGCCGACGUAUUCCCGUUCAGUACUCUGACAGACAGGUAUAUAGACAACUACAGCUACAGUUAUAUGCAUAGUCAUAUGCACGAAGUUUACGUUGCAGGCUGUCUCAAAUUAUUGGCUUCGUCGUCCUGGUUUGUUUACGCGACUUACUAACUUUAUCAGGAAGCUACCAAGGACAUGGGGCGGAAAGUGACUCUUGCUACCUGCUCGUUGAAUCAGUGGGCUCUGGACUUUGAGGGCAACCUGGAGAGAAUACUGAAGAGUAUUGAGAUUGCUAAAGCUCAUGGAGCCAAAUACAGACUGGGUCCAGAGCUGGAGAUAUGCGGGUAUGGCUGUGCAGACCACUUCUAUGAGUCGGACACAUUGCUCCACAGCUUUCAAGUUCUGAGGAAACUUCUGGAAUCUCCCGUCACCCAAGACAUCAUCUGUGACGUCGGCAUGCCCGUCAUGCAUCAUAAUGUGCGCUACAACUGCCGGAUACUCUUCCUUAACAGAAAGAUACUGCUGAUCAGACCUAAAAUGCAGAUGGCCAACGAUGGGAACCACCGAGAGAUGCGCUGGUUCUCACCAUGGAACCAGUUAAGGCAAGUCGAGGAGUAUUUCCUGCCCAGAAUGAUCCAGGAGGUAACAGGGCAGGACACAGUCCCAUUUGGUGACUGCGUAUUAUCCACAAAGGACACUUGCAUUGGAACAGAGAUGUGCGCAGAGCUAUGGAGAUCCAGAAGCCCCCACAUUCAGAUGGGUCUUGAUGGGGUUGAAAUCUUUACAAAUUCGUCAGCUAGCCACCACGAGCUCCGCAAGGCUGACCAAAGAGUCAACCUGGUCAAGUCAGCCACCACCAAGAGUGGAGGUAUCUACUUGUAUGCCAAUCAGAGGGGUUGUGAUGGAGACCGUGUCUACUAUGAUGGUUGUGCCAUGGUUGCCAUCAACGGUGACAUUGUGGCACAGGGAAAACAGUUCUCCCUUAAUGAUGUGGAGGUCAUUACAGCCACACUAGACCUUGAGGAUGUGCGUAGCUACAGAGGAGAAUAUUGCCAGCCAAACAUGGAGAGUGAACCUAAAACUUGCCACAGGGUCAAAGUUGACUUCUCUUUAUCCAGUGGUGAUGAUAUUUACCUCCCUACCCACCAACCAGUUACAUGGAACUAUCACACUCCAGAGGAAGAGAUCAGUCUAGGGCCAGCCUGCUGGCUAUGGGACUACCUGAGGAGAAGUGGACAGGCUGGUUUUCUGUUACCCCUGAGUGGAGGUGUUGACAGCUCCUCAACCGCCUGUAUUGUCCACUCUAUGUGUGUGCUGCUCUGCCAGGCAAUAGAGGAUGGCAACAGUCAGGUACUCGUUGAUGUCCGUCGAGUGGUAGGGGAUGACUCCUACUGUCCUCGGGACCCAAGGGAGUUAUGUGGUCACAUCUUCACCACCUGCUACAUGGCAAGUGAAAACUCCUCAGAGGACACACGCAGCAGGGCCAAAGGCUUGGCCAGUCAGAUCGGCAGCACGCACAUGAAUAUUAACAUUGACAUGGCAGUGAAAGGCAUUCUGGGCGUCUUCUCAGUGGUUACUGGGAGGUUGCCUCAGUUUCGUGCAAAUGGAGGAAGCCACAGAGAAAACCUGGCUCUGCAGAACGUGCAGGCUCGGGUCAGGAUGGUCCUAGCCUACCUGUUUGCCCAGCUGAGUCUCUGGGCCCGAGGGAAGCCAGGUGGAUUACUGGUGCUUGGCUCAGCCAAUGUAGAUGAGAGUCUGACAGGAUAUUUCACAAAGUAUGACUGCUCCAGUGCUGACAUCAACCCAAUAGGAGGCAUCAGCAAGACAGACCUGAAGAGCUUCCUGCUUUACUGUGUUGAGCAGUUCCAGCUCACCACUCUUAAAGGCAUCGUGGCCGCUCCACCCACAGCUGAACUAGAGCCGCUGACUGAUGGACAGGUGUCGCAAACAGAUGAGGCAGACAUGGGGAUGACCUAUUCUGAGUUAUCUGUGAUUGGACGACUGAGGAAGAUCUCUAAGUGUGGCCCCUACAGUAUGUUCUGUAAACUCAUUCACAUGUGGAAGGAUGCGCUCUCACCCAUGGAGGUGGCCGAGAAGGUGAAACACUUCUUCCGCAUGUACUCAGUGAACCGCCACAAAAUGACCACGGUGACACCGUCCUACCACGCUGAGAGCUACAGCCCUGAUGACAACCGCUUUGACCUCCGGCCUUUCCUCUAUAACACAGGCUGGGUCUGGCAGUUCAGAUGUAUCAACAACCAGGUGUCCCAGAUGGAGGCAAACACCCUGAAGCCAUAAGAACCAGAGGUCUUCAGUGUCCAGUGAAAAGUCAUCAGAAGUUAAACAGAUCAAAUAUUCUUCAGUGAUACUUCACAACUUUCUGUAAUGUAAUGCCAAACACAGGACCAAGCAGGAAGCUUCUAUCCCAAAUAAGACUACGUCUGAGAGGCUGAGAGAGAGCACAUUUAACAUGUUGACAUGAUAACAAUGAAAACGUUCAUGCUCAUCCAGUUUGUUUAGUUGACGACAUGCUAAUAUUAACUUAUUGGCACUGAAUGUCAUUAGUUUUGCAGGUUUUGGUCAUAAAUUAAAAUAUUGGGCAAAUUCAAAUGUAUGACUUGAUAAUGGCAUCAGAAGAAUAAUCAACAAAGUCUUUAGGGUUCAUCCUCUGGGGACCAUGACAUGAUAAUCCAUUGACUCGUCAAUGAGACAUGUCAUUCUGUUCCAAAGUAGUGCACCAGUGUCAUUCUUAGAGCCAUGUCACUGGCUUAAAAAAACUCCAAUUUUAUGAGUAGAAUUGUAUCUUUAUCAGUCAGCAAUGUGAAAGAAAUAGUGUGAUGGUGGCUGUUGACUUUUUGUCCUUAUUUUAGAGUUGCCCUUCUCAACAGCAGCUCAUAUGACUUCCCACUCAGUACUGGUUAUAAUGUUAGGUGCAUGUUUUAUUCCUGAAAGAUUUUUCGCAAGUAGUAAUUGUUCUCACUUAUUUCAGAUGUGACAGAUUGGAUAAAGACAGUGAAAGUGCUCUCAGUCCAGGGACAGGAACAAUGAGGUUACUGGAUAUCACAGAUUUGUGUCUGAAGUUGAUGUUACUGGAGAGACACUCUGCAUGGGAAGGCUUGAGAGACAGAAGAUUUGCUGCAAAUAAAGUCCAGAAGACAUGA